AUUCUUUUACUUUGAGUUCGUUGCUUUAAUAAAACCUCAGAAUUCACAUCUUAGCUUAAAGCUAAGAGGUCAAGGCAAUUUCCCCCCCCUAGAACUGCUGCAGAGAAUCCACGGACACCCCAAACUUUGCUACUGAGAGGAAGGAGGUGGGUCAAUUGCUGAAGUGGAACAAAAAGGUCUCAGAUCUAUGAGGCACGAUGGGACAAACACCUCUUCUGUGGCCGCUCUGUAAGUACCACAUGCUCUGUUUAAAACCUCAGUAUGUAAUAUGUAUAUUUAAGAUAUUUUAGCUCCAGUGAGUCAAAGCUACAGGUAUUUGCUUUUACUUAAAAACUCUUAAUAACUGAAAGAAGAAUGGUGUAACGGUAAACGUGGUUACACAUUACAGAAAGAAGUACAGGUGUUGUAAUCCAACUGGUUUUUGCAUUUAACAGGAGAAAGAGUUUCACUGUGUGAGAUUAUUACACUAUCUUAUGCUACAUUAUACUUCUAAUCAAAGAAUUGUUGAAUCAUUAUAAAACUAUAGGCCACAUUAUGUCAGCCAGCACGUUUUUAUGUUACAGCUUGAUUUCUUGAAAGAAGGAAUGAAAAAUAAUGUAAAAAGUAAAUUCAUCUGUUAAGUCUUUGACUACAGACAGAAUCAGAAUCAGCAUACUUUAUUGAUCCCUAGGGGAAAUUAUGUUGGUUACGGUGCUCCAGCAAAAACAGUUACAAAAACAGAUACAAAAACAGAUACAAAAUACAAGAAGUAAGAAAUAGCAAAAUAAAUAUACGAUAUAUACAUACAUAUAAAUGACUUAUUGAUACUGCAGGUAUCUACUUAAGUUGGACAGCGUUAAUCCUCCGGAGUUUCCACAUGAGGCUCUGAGAGGUGCAAAGUUUUAGAAUGUGUGUUUCAUACAUUGCGAUGGAUUCUGGUUCGGGUUCUUUUAGCAUGUACUGCAGGUUCAUAGUGCAUGGUUUUCCAUCAGAUCAGGUUUAUCAGUUUUUUUGUCUGCACUGAAAAUUGCUCACACACUGUUAAAGAUGUUGAAACAGACACUUCACUCUGGAACUGAUGAAGCCAGAAACAGUGAGGUGUUUUUCCUAAACUUCUCACAUUAAAGCAGACUUAUUCUGCUUAUUUCCAGCUCCAUGUUACCUUUCUUGGAUUAUACUACUGUAGCAUCAAAUAUUUACAGGUCAUAAUAAUCGUUCAUGUAACUGUAACAUGUAACAUGUGGGAAAUUUAUGUAUUAUCAGUAAAAAUUUGUAUUGGUUUCACAGGUUUGCAAAGUGCUUACUAUACAAGAUAGAUUGUCUAAGACUGUUACAUAAUUUUGCCAAGUGAGCGGCUCUGUGAUCAUUAAGCUUCCAGUUUUGCAAACUAAACCAAGCAGAGGUGUUAAAGUCGUCGCAGGGUAAAGAUAUAGGCUGUGCUGUGGCCUCAUGUUUGCUGCUGUUAUUCCUAAAUUUCAAAUUUUGUGUCACCCUAAAACAAGAAUUCUGUGUCAGUCAUGUGACUUUGUCUUGCUUUGCAGAGAGCGAUCCAGCUGCGAGUUAUUCUUCUGUGCACAGAACAGAUGACAUCAGCUAUGCACAGAUCCCCAUCAAGACAAACUGCAGACAGAGAGAUCUUCCACCAGAGCCAGCGGUCGUCUACUCCUCACUGAAGCUGACACACACACCUUCACCGAAGUGUAACUAGUGACAUCCAGCUGGCUGCCCGACACAUCCCUGCACUCCUCUCUUUAUUACAUAUUAUUUAUUGAAUCAUAUUCUGUGUGUGUUUACAGUUAUACAGCUGCACUGGACCAGUUUGAAUAUAGAGCUCAGGAUGAAGUGGAGAGUUUAUGUUUGUCUUUAAUAAAACAUUUUAAAUACAAAGCAGUUUCUCGGUCAUUGAACACACCUGUGCAACAUCGGCCAAUCAAAGAUUCAAAACGGGACGUUGUUUUCUCACCUGAAUAUAGAGUCAAAACACUUCAUGUAUGUGCGUCUGGCAACAGCUGCAGGACAUCAGCAGGCGUCUUUUAAUUUUGUUCUUUAAACAGAAGAAAGUCACCUACAAUAAUUUUAAGGAGUGGCAUCACCCUCAGGUGACUAUUAAAGUCUAUUCUGGCAGUUUGAAGGACGCUUUAGAAUCUUUAAUUUACGAGACUGCACACCUUCCCCUCACAUCCCUCCCAGCAAAGAUAAGAAAGGAAGGAAGAGCAAGGAAGCGAGGAAGAGACAUGAGGAGAGAGGAGUCAAGGCGGGACGUCUCCUUCCUUCAAAGAAUCAUUUUAAAUUGCUGUCAGUUAAAUAUGACAUUUGACACAAAUACUUUAGACUUAGACUUAGAUCCUCCCAUGCCUUAUGUGGCAUACAGGGUGGCAAAUGAACACCACCAGCCUUGAUCUUGUGCCCGGGCUUCAGCUUCUAUCAACAAUAUGCUCGAUGUCUUUAAGUCUUGAUGGAAUGACCUUCGCCAGGUGUUGCGGGGAUGUCUUCAUGGUCUUUUAACGCCCAGGGGUUGCUAGCGCAUCGCUGUUCUUGGAAUCUGUGCAUCAUCCAUGCAGAGGAUAUGGCCGGCCAGUCGGAGUCUUUGGCAUGCAACGAUGUUGUGAAGUUUGACCGCGCCACUCCUUCACAGGACCUCCUCAUUGGUGAAGUGGUCGAUGUAGCGGAUCCUCAGAAUCCGGCGAAGACAUCGCUGCUGAAAGACGUCGAGCUUGGUGUUGAGCAGGCUGACACCUUCCAAGUCUCGCUGGCAUAAAUGGUGGAUGGGAUCACGAUCGAAUUAAGCAAGUGGAGUUUGAUCUUGAGGGAGAUGGACGGGGAGGACCAGAUCUUGUUCAUCCUCCGAAAUACCGCAGCCGCCUUUCCAGUGCAGCAUUUGACAUCCACCUCCCGGUCGCCGUCAUGGGAAAUCACGCUACCAAGGUAGGUGAAUUUCUCCAGUUCUUCUAGCUGCUGUGUCCCGAUGUAGAUCCCCCGUCGUGGGUCCUUGGAGCUGACAUGCAUGAUCUUCGACUUUUCAGAGAUGAUCCUCAGGCCAAUCUUGCCAGCUUCUCUUCUUAGAAUGGUUGUUCCUUGCUGGAGCUUCAGCUCGUCUUCCUCGAGUAGGGCAAUAUUGUCAGCUAAAUUGAGGUUGCCAAGACGGUCUUGAUCAGAACAAUGGAUGCCAGCUCCUAUACGGGCGCCGGCUCGCCGCAUGACGUAGUCGAGGGCAACGAGAAAAAGCAGAGGUGACAGGAUGCAGCCCUGCCUGACGUCGGUGGUGAUCUAGAAGAAGUUGGUGUGGCCAUUUCCGGUCUUAACGCAACAGCAUGAUCGCAUGUACAGGUCCUUGAAGAUGUUGAUGAAGAUAGUAGGGACACCGUACAAGCGCAGGAUCUGCCAAAGUGAAUCGUGGUGGAUGCUAUCGAAGGCCUUCCUGAAAUCGGCGAAAUUUAUGGCGAGUUGUUGCCGGUACUCGACGCACUGUUUGAUGAUGUUUCUUAAGGCGUGCUGUUCCGUGCACGAUCAGCCGCUUCAGAACCCAGCUUGCUCCUCUCGUAGACGUUGGUUGAGGGCACUCCUCAGUCGUUGAAAGAGGACAAUACAGAAUGCCUUGCCAGGCACAGAGAGGAGGGUAAUGCCUCUCCAGCUGGUGCACUCUGAGGUGUUGCCCUUCUUUGGUAGCUUGACUAUGGCACCCUUCCGCCAGUCCUCCAGCACUGUGCCACUUUGCCAGGACUUGUUAAACAGGGUCUUCAAUUCUUCCACCAUGGCUUGGCCGCCGUAUUUCAGGAGCUCUGCUGGUAUUUCGUCUAAGCCGGCCGCUUUGUUGUUCUUGAGGUUGUUGAUCACGAUCUUCACUUCCUCGAUGGUGAUUCUGCUGGUGUUGACCCCAAGCUCAUCUUGGGCAUCCUCUGCCUUGAAAUUCUACGUCGUGGCGGGCUCUGACUGGUUAAGGGUCUCUUGGAAGUGUUCGGCCCAUCUUUUGUUUUGCUCUUCUUGGGCGAUCAGGAGCUUCCCAUUUUUGUCCUUGACCGGGACGUUUACAUUGGUGCUCGAUCCAGUAAGCUUGUUUACGAUGCAGUAUAGGGUCUUGGAGUCCGAAGUUUGAGUUUGACUUCCGCUCUGACUAGGUGGUGGUCAGACACAAAUGCAUUAAAAUUUUUUGUUAUAGCCAAUCACAUUUUUUUAAUCAAUCACCUGGAACAGCUCCCACAAACAACAGAAUUUGUUUUAUUUUCUGUGUAUCAAAUAAACUCAGAACAGCUCAGCUUUGAGGACAUGCUGUGCUAAAGGUCGAACGUGGGAUUACCAUCAUGGUGUAAACAAUUUUCUUUUACUACCUUCUAGGGGUGGAGCCAAACCCGAAUACGGUAUUCGGAAAGGCACGAAUAUCGCGUUUUUUUUAUGAAUACUUAUUUCGAACAAAUACUUGUAUUUCUAUUCGGGAACAAGGGAAAACUUUAUAUCAAAAAGCUGAGUUUCCUUAUUAGACCGCAGUGCAUGCCUGGAUGAGUGAGUGAGUGACAUGUAAAAGGUGAGUGAGACAGGCUGCUCCACACAGCAACAGAGAAGGCUCGGCUGAGCGAUAAAAGACUGCAUCACCAUUUUUGUUGAAUAGAUUUUUUUUUGUACCUUAACACUGUUCCAGAGGCAGUUUACAACUUUCGCGCAGGUCAGGAGAUUAAACAGGGGCAUACAUUGGUUAGCCACAACCAAAUUGGAAGAGAUAAAUAUCCCAUCUGACACUUUGGUGAAACCCACAGAACCACAGAAAAACAAACGACAACAAAACUAUUUUAGUCCUGCACAGAAACCACAUCUAUGCUGUGUGAACAAGAACAAACAAACAAAACAUAAAAUUGUAAAUUAUUGAAAAUAUGAAAACAUUUUAAUAUGUAUUUUCUGACUGUUUAUGUUGAAAAAAGCUAAACUUUUAAAGGUACAGUCAAUAUAGGUAAAGUCUAAUUAAGU
Molecule: long non-coding RNA, 4935 nt
Organism: Oreochromis aureus
Lineage: Eukaryota; Metazoa; Chordata; Actinopteri; Cichliformes; Cichlidae
Exons: 2
Source: RefSeq, a predicted model, not a curated record